This 291-nucleotide ribosomal RNA is filed under the name Triticum aestivum (bread wheat). RNAcentral's name for it is "partial small subunit ribosomal RNA". Lineage: Eukaryota; Viridiplantae; Streptophyta; Magnoliopsida; Poales; Poaceae. The record is from RNAcentral.
AUGCCGAAUGGAGCUAAAUUCUUCACAGUUGGCCUGGCUGCUGUGACCUGGGCUAUAUGGUUGGCUCAUAAUAGGGCUACCUUUGAGAAGAAGUUAAUUAAAUCUUCUUUUGAGAUUGUGUUUUCGGCAUGUUCUUUUCUUUUGUACUGGGCAGGACUUCAGAACAAGGAAGAAGCGGAGGAGCUACGCCAAGGUGCAGAGAUGAUUCGCUCAAGCUUGACCAGGCUGAUGGCGAUGUGUGAGAAGGCCAGGCGCACGGCGGAUGAUGAUGGAGAGGUGCUGACCUGGUGA